Molecule: non-coding RNA, 272 nt
Organism: Zonotrichia albicollis (white-throated sparrow)
Lineage: Eukaryota; Metazoa; Chordata; Aves; Passeriformes; Passerellidae
Source: RefSeq, a predicted model, not a curated record
AGGACCUGUGAUGGUGGCGAGGGUCAGACACAGCCCAGGGAUCUCUCACCAGGGCUGCAGUGCCAGCUCUGGAUCACAAAGAAAUGGACAUAUGUGAUAAUAUGAAGGGGACAGAAAGCAAGGAUCCUGCCCCUCGAUGGGGGAAUGUUGGGAGGCAGUGCUGAGGCUCCGCCAGCCCUGCCAGCAGCAGCCAAAGCCCUGGGCUGUCACCAGCUCCUUUCCAGCUGCCCGGGCAACGCACAGCACCAUGAGGGCUGCUGUGGGAAAACACA